Molecule: ribosomal RNA, 1495 nt
Filed under: Candidatus Uhrbacteria bacterium
Lineage: Bacteria; Candidatus Uhriibacteriota
Description: partial 23S ribosomal RNA
Rfam family: Bacterial large subunit ribosomal RNA
Source: RNAcentral
GCCGAAGCACGUAAGGGCGUACGGUGGAUGGCUAGGCAGCGAGGAGCCGACGAAGGACGUGGCAGCCUGCGAUAAGCCUCGGGGAGGUGGCAAGCAACCUUUGAUCCGAGGAUUUCCGAAUGGGGAAACCCCUUUGCACGAACUGCAAAGACCCACAUCUGAAUACAUAGGGUGUGUGGAGGGCACCUGGGGAAGUGAAACAUCUCAGUACCCAGAGGAAAAGAAAAAAAGUAUACGCAGACUUCUUGUCUCACCAGAUCAAUCAUGGUCUGGACAGAGACAAGAUGUCUGCAUCAUUCCCUGAGUAGCGGCGAUCGAAACGGGAACAGCCGAAACUUUCAUGAUUAAUCUUCUGCACCGAGUUGGACGCAAGUUUAACCGCGGGCAGGAGAGGCGAGCUUGGGCUAUCGUCAUGAAGGGGUUGCGGGACAGAAGCAUGUAUCACCCAAGAGAUGCGUGGAGAGCAGAUGAUAUUAGUUGAAUCCGCUGGAAAGCGGAACCAAAGACGGUGAUAGUCCGGUAAACGAAAAUAUCCAUCUCCUCCAGUUUUUGAUCCAUAGUACGACGAGGCACGAGAAACCUCGUCGGAAGCAGCCACGACGAUGUGGCAAGGCUAAAUACUCCUCCUGACCGAUAGUGAACAAGUACCGUGAGGGAAAGCUGAAAAGUAGCCCGGGAGGGCGAUGAAAUAGUAUCUGAAACCAUGUGCUUACAAGGAGUCGGAGCUGGGUAGUAAUACCUGGUGACGGCGUUCCUAUUGAAGAAUGAGCCAACGAGUUUGUUCUAUGUCGCAAGUUUAAUCCGGCUACGCCGGAGAAAGCGAAGGGAAACCAAGUCUGAAUAGGGCGACUUCCAUGGGUUAUAAGGCUGGCAGGUUACCAGGUCAGUGGAGAGCAAUUUCCAUGAUCUGAGAACCUCUUACCUUAUAACCUCGUGGAGCAGCGGCAUGGACAAAACACGAAACCGAGUGAGCUAACCAUGGCCAGGGUGAACUCCGCCAACAAACGGAGGGAGGCCCGCACCCACGUGCUGUGCAAAACACGGGGAUGAGUUGUGGUUAGUGGUGAAAUUCCUAUCGAACUCGGUAAUAGCUUGUUUUCCUCGAAAUAGUUAUUGGACUAGCCUCGUCGUGGCGACCAGUGGUAGAGCACUGAAUGGGGGUGGGUGGAGCAAUCCUACCACUUCCAACCAAACUCCGAAUGCUGGAACCGUUAUAUGGCGGGAGUUAGACUAUGGGCGCUAAGGUCCAUCAGUCAAAAGGGGAACAGCCCAGAUCAUCAUCUAAGGUCCCCAAAUCUUCGUUAAGUGUCAAAGGUGGUGUCGCGACCGUGACAACCAGGAUGUUGGCUUAGAGGCAGCCAUCAUUUAAAGAAAGCGUAAUAGCUCACUGGUCCAGUUGCCGCGCGCCGAAAAUAUAUCGGGGCUCAAACGUGGUACCGAAGAUAUGGGUCUUGCAUCUUUGAUGUGAGGCGGUAGAGGAACGUUCUGUAUGCAA